GAUGAACGCUGGCGGUGUGCCUAAUACAUGCAAGUCGAACGCUUUUUCUUUCACCGGAGCUUGCUCCACCGAAAGAAAAAGAGUGGCGAACGGGUGAGUAACACGUGGGUAACCUGCCCAUCAGAAGGGGAUAACACUUGGAAACAGGUGCUAAUACCGUAUAACACUAUUUUCCGCAUGGAAGAAAGUUGAAAGGCGCUUUUGCGUCACUGAUGGAUGGACCCGCGGUGCAUUAGCUAGUUGGUGAGGUAACGGCGCACCAAGGCAACGAUGCAUAGCCGACCUGAGAGGGUGAUCGGCCACACUGGGACUGAGACACGGCCCAGACUCCUACGGGAGGCAGCAGUAGGGAAUCUUCGGCAAUGGACGAAAGUCUGACCGAGCAACGCCGCGUGAGUGAAGAAGGUUUUCGGAUCGUAAAACUCUGUUGUUAGAGAAGAACAAGGAUGAGAGUAGAACGUUCAUCCCUUGACGGUAUCUAACCAGAAAGCCACGGCUAACUACGUGCCAGCCGCCGCCGUAA
This 523-nucleotide ribosomal RNA is filed under the name uncultured bacterium. Its description in RNAcentral is "partial 16S ribosomal RNA". It matches the Rfam family "Bacterial small subunit ribosomal RNA", at positions 28 to 523 of the family's 1533-position model. The record is from RNAcentral.